RNAcentral lists this transfer RNA (64 nucleotides) under Myzostoma seymourcollegiorum. RNAcentral describes it as "tRNA-Val". The record is from RNAcentral. Lineage: Eukaryota; Metazoa; Annelida; Myzostomida; Myzostomatidae.
AAAGAUAGAGCAUGUUAAUGCACUUCAUUUACAUUGAACCUAAAAAUAUAAUAUUUUAUCUUUA